UGAUGAUUUGGUUAUUCUCGUUUUUUUUAUGAGACACCUGCAAGCUUUUGUUACGCAUAAAAGCAGGAUAAACCUCUCUGAUCUCUUUUUUAUUUAACACAAUAUGAACAAAAUAUUUUUAGGCUACAGUUGGAUAACAAAAAAUUGAAUAUAACUUGUGAUUCAAAUUUUAAUAACAAAUUUAUGAAUAGCAUAAAAACUUGACACUAGAAACCAUGCAAAAUUUUAUCAUAAAAAUAUCAUUAAUGAAACGAAAAUUUAGCAAUAUCAACAUAGGUGUGUGUAUCAAGAUAACAUUUUAAACAUUACAAAAUAGUACAUUUGGUCCUGGCAAAAGAAUGACAGGUGUCCCAUGCGGAUUAAAGCAAAGGAGGGAACGAAAAGGAACCGACGCGCGCUUCGGCGCUCGGUACGUUUUCAACAAAUGGGGUUAUGUCACGGCAGUAUAUAUAAAAGAGAAACGAUAAUUGUAGGUUCUUACUUUCGAAGGCCUGUAGGAAUAGCUCAUGAUCUGCUUGUAUUUGAUCCAUCCGAGGACCCUUCUGGCCAUCUAAUUCUUUCUCCCG
Molecule: long non-coding RNA, 566 nt
Organism: Colletes gigas
Lineage: Eukaryota; Metazoa; Arthropoda; Insecta; Hymenoptera; Colletidae
Exons: 3
Source: RefSeq, a predicted model, not a curated record